UCAGCCCCUUCAAGGGGUGCCUGGUCAUGACAGAAGGGAAGGAAGGCCCCAUGAAAGCCUGUAAGUUGCCAAUACUGCAGUGACUACCUCCUCCUUAUCUCUCUUUCUGGAGAUUCCCCAAAGACAGUGUUCAUUCACUAAAUACUUACUGAGUAAAUACUAUAUUCUAGACACUUUUCUAAGCACUUGGGUAUAUAGCAGAAAGCCAGGAUGCUAAAUUAGCAAGGCCGGGCACUAAAUCAAGAAGGGACAUAGGCUGGGAUAGGCAUUUGGAGCCAAGCCCAAGGGGUCAAUGAACAAAAACCAGGCACACACAACUUCUUCCCUUCCUCUAGAGGGCAGGGCCUGGGAAUCAGAGGGCCUGGAGUCCUUAUACUGCUUCUGUGGCUAGUUUUCUGAGUGCCCUUAGAUAAGCCUAGUAUGUGCCCCAAGGGUCAGUUUCUUCAUAUGCAAAAUGGAAAAAAAAACAUAGCUGUAGGCACCUUAUUACAAUUUCUAUGAGGUUAUCUGCAUAAUUCAGAGCCAGGGUUUCAUGCUACAGGUGGACAUUGAUUAGCACAAUGGACACAUUCUAGAAAUGGUUAUAUGCCAGUGAACUCCUACAGAAUAAAGAGCCAUCAGUGUUCAUUGUUUAAAACCGUGUGAAUGUUUUGGUAAACCUGAACACCACCUUCUAAUUUGUUUGACUUUUCCUGCAGUGUCCAGCUGUGCUUGGCACUGGACCAAAUGGGGUGAAACCCACUAGAAUUCUACAGGUGUGUUCAGUUUACCUGACACAAGGUCAUCAAGGGAACAAAUGAAGGGCUGGAAACACAGGAGGGGAAAAGAGAAUUUUAAGAUAUUUAGACGCAGAGGGAGAAAUAUGCAGAAGCUAUACUGAGAUAAAAUCUGAGCUUUCUUUGAAGAAGAAUACAACACAAUCGACCCUCAAACUCAGCCCCCUUGGCCCUCAGAUGAAGCACCGGCUAGGCAAGAGGGAAGGAGUGACAGGAAGUCUGUGAGAGCAGGAGGAGCACAGAGCAGGGACAGGUGGUGAGGGAGGGAGUGAUGGAAGAAGGUGGUGGCGGAUUCAGGCCUGCUUCCUUCUUUUCUCUUCCCUCCCUACCUCUUCCUCCAUGAGAGAGAGAGAAAGGGAACUCCAGAUCCAGGCUGGACCCUGGAUGAAAGACAGCCACUUAAUUCUCUGAACCACGUCCUUGUGCCCUGCAGGGCUGCUUCUGGCCUGGCAGCCUGUGGCCCCGCACUCCCCUUCCCCCUGCCUUCAAGCUGAGACUCAGAAGGAUAGUCACCUUGGAAAUCACACUAUCAGAGCCACCAGGCGGAAAUAAGUGACCCAGAGAAAAACGCUAUGAAGUAGUGAAGGAGUUGCAGGAGGCGGCAGCGAGGGUCCUUGGGAGUCACUCAGAGGCAUGUGGAAGAUUCACGCGGGUUAAAGCUGAGCUGAUUAUGGAAUGAAAACUCACUGUGUCCUCUCUCCUCUCUCCUGGUCUGCAGCAUUACUUAGGAAUAAUGUGGCCUCAACUUCCUUCUCUUUCUUUAUUAUUUUUUUCUUUUUUGAGAUGGAGUUUCGCUCUUGUUGCCCAGGCUGGAGU
RNAcentral lists this long non-coding RNA (1592 nucleotides) under Homo sapiens (human). RNAcentral's name for it is "non-protein coding lnc-PSD4-4:2". Lineage: Eukaryota; Metazoa; Chordata; Mammalia; Primates; Hominidae. The record is from RNAcentral.